Molecule: unclassified non-coding RNA, 358 nt
Filed under: Hevea brasiliensis (rubber tree)
Lineage: Eukaryota; Viridiplantae; Streptophyta; Magnoliopsida; Malpighiales; Euphorbiaceae
Source: RNAcentral
GCCAACGAUUUGAAUUGACAGAAUCACAAAUAUCAAUAUUCAUAGUCCAAUCAGGGCCGAUUAGAAGAUCACUGGUCGCCUUCUCCACUGCAACAGUAGCAGAAGAAGAUGAAGCCACAGACAUAGCCAUAGCCAUCUCUAUCUCUGCCAAAAAAAAAAAAAAAAACCGACCCUUCUUGCGAAAUUUGAAGGCAACUGUGGGACGAAAAAAGAAGAAGAUAAACACCGAGUCCAAGUCUAUCUUGUAUUCAAUUUCCAGCAAACCACAUGGUCAUUUUAAUGCUCUAUUCGCGUAUCUUUCCAGGUGGUUUCUUUCCAGCUACGAUUAUUUUUCCCUUCUUUUUAAUCUUAAUCUUUC